AGGGUUGCAGCUCAGUGAUAGAGCAUUUCUUUAGCAUGUAUAAGAUCUUGGGUUCAAAUCCCAGCACCACAA
RNAcentral lists this transfer RNA (72 nucleotides) under Marmota monax (woodchuck). It matches the Rfam family "tRNA". Rfam says of the family: Transfer RNA (tRNA) molecules are approximately 80 nucleotides in length. Lineage: Eukaryota; Metazoa; Chordata; Mammalia; Rodentia; Sciuridae. The record is from Rfam by way of RNAcentral.